UUUUUUGCCUAAGUAUGUCCUAUGCAAUAUUUGGGACAUAUUUAAGCUAAAA
Myotis lucifugus (little brown bat) is the source of this 52-nucleotide non-coding RNA. NCBI's taxonomy places the organism in Eukaryota, Metazoa, Chordata, Mammalia, Chiroptera, Vespertilionidae. The record is from Rfam.